Molecule: ribosomal RNA, 292 nt
Filed under: uncultured bacterium
Lineage: Bacteria
Description: partial 16S ribosomal RNA
Rfam family: Bacterial small subunit ribosomal RNA
Source: RNAcentral
GUGCCAGCAGCCGCGGUAAUACGGGGGGAGCAAGCGUUGUUCGGAAUCACUGGGCGUAAAGGGAGUCUAGGCGGUUUGGUAAGUGGGAUGUGAAAUCCCCGGGCUCACCCCGGGACCUGCAUCCCAAACUGCUGAGCUUGAGUACAGGAGAGGGUGGGGGAAUUCCAGGUGUAGCGGUGAAAUGCGUAGAUAUCUGGAGGAACACCGGUGGCGAAGGCGCCCACCUGGCCUGCUACUGACGCUGAAGCUCGAAAGCUAGGGGAGCAAACGGGAUUAGAAACCCCCGUAGUCC